CCAUACAGCUCUGAUUCACCUCUGGGCCCCCUCAUCACCACUUUGUCAAUAUCUAGCUUCCUCAGUCUCGAACCAUGGGUUUAUUGUUGAUACCAGUGAUUAAUGCCAAAACCCUGUUGCCUGGGGAAAGGGUGAUGUUUGACUUUCUUGUACAGCUGCAGUUUGUGUGGUGAAGGUGCUCUCACAAUGUGGUUGGAUUCUACCAUCUGCC
Non-coding RNA from Chiloscyllium plagiosum (whitespotted bambooshark), 211 nucleotides. Lineage: Eukaryota; Metazoa; Chordata; Chondrichthyes; Orectolobiformes; Hemiscylliidae. The record is from RefSeq and is a predicted model, not a curated record.